Molecule: long non-coding RNA, 490 nt
Organism: Hyla sarda
Lineage: Eukaryota; Metazoa; Chordata; Amphibia; Anura; Hylidae
Exons: 3
Source: RefSeq, a predicted model, not a curated record
GUCUUGACUGGGAGAGGCCUUAUGACAGUACAGAUGGAGAAGAAUAAAGAUAAACAAAGAAGACAUCAGCUGUAAUUCACUUGGAGAAGACGUCAGCUGUGAUUCUCUGGAUGUAACUUGUGUACGGCUUCUCACCUUUAUUGACGUUCUGUCCUCCAGGACCGCUGCUCUUGCUGUAUGAGAUGCUCAGACGAUCUGAAAACACAUUUGGUUAAGAAAAGCUACCAGAUCAUUACAGUAAGGGCAUGGAUAACACUAACCUCCAGGAGGAGAUCAUCACCCCAACCUGAGAAAUUUGCAGAUAUAUAAUGGUAUUUACAUGUCAUCCUCUAAAGUCCAAUACCUGAGCAUCACUCACAGAAGAUAUUGAUGCCAAUGGUCCUAUGGACAUCCUGUACAAUGUUGAAAACGUGAAGAGGCAAGUGAUCAUAUAUAAACUAAUUUUAAACAUUAUAUUACAGAAUAAAUAAUAUUCAAACCCAGGACACAA